This 253-nucleotide ribosomal RNA is filed under the name uncultured bacterium. RNAcentral describes it as "partial 16S ribosomal RNA". It matches the Rfam family "Bacterial small subunit ribosomal RNA", at positions 524 to 776 of the family's 1533-position model. The record is from RNAcentral.
UACGUAGGGUGCGAGCGUUAAUCGGAAUUACUGGGCGUAAAGUGUGCGCAGGCGGCAGAGCAAGUCGAGUGUGAAAGCCCCGGGCUUAACUUGGGAAUUGCGCUCGAAACUACUUUGCUGGAGUGUGGCAGAGGAAGGUGGAAUUCCACGUAUAGCGGUGAAAUGCGUAGAGAUGUGGAGGAACACCAACGGCGAAGGCAGCCUUCUGGGCCAAUACUGACGCUCAUGCACGAAAGCGUGGGGAGCAAACAGG